ACGAACGCUGGCGGCGUGCUUAACACAUGCAAGUCGAACGGAGUGUUUCAAAAAGCUUGCUUUUUGCAACACUCAGUGGCGCACGGGUGAGUAACACGUGGGCAACCUGCCCGGAAGACUGGGAUAACACCUCGAAAGGGGUGCUAAUACCGGAUACCUUCACGAAGUCGCAUGACUUUGUGAAGAAAGAAAUUCGCUUCCAGAUGGGCCCGCGUCCCAUUAGCUAGUUGGCGGGGUAACGGGCUCACCAAGGCGACGAUGGGUAGCU
This 268-nucleotide ribosomal RNA is filed under the name uncultured bacterium. Its description in RNAcentral is "partial 16S ribosomal RNA". It matches the Rfam family "Bacterial small subunit ribosomal RNA", at positions 29 to 288 of the family's 1533-position model. The record is from RNAcentral.